AAGGAUCAUUACCUAGAGUUGAUUCGAGCUCCGGCUCCGACUCUCCCACCCUAUGUGUACCUACCUCCUGUUGCUUUGGCGGGCCGCGGUCCUCCGCACCGGCGCCCUUCGGGGGGCUGGCCAGCGCCCGCCAGAGGACCAUAAAACUCCAGUCAGUGAACUUCGCAGUCUGAAAAACAAGUUAAUAAACUAAAACUUUCAACAACGGAUCUCUUGGUUCUGGCAUCGAUGAAGAACGCAGCGAAAUGCGAUAAGUAAUGUGAAUUGCAGAAUUCAGUGAAUCAUCGAAUCUUUGAACGCACAUUGCGCCCCUUGGUAUUCCGAGGGGCAUGCCUGUUCGAGCGUCAUUUCAACCCUCAAGCUCUGCUUGGUAUUGGGCCCCCUCCUCCACGGACGCGCCUUAAAGACCUCGGCGGUGGCGUCUUGCCUCAAGCGUAGUAGAAAACACCUCGCUUUGGAAGCGCACGGCGUCGCCCGCCGGACGAAACCUUUUGAAAUUAUUUCUCAAAGGUGGACCUUCGGAUCAGGAAGGGAUACCCGCUGAACUUAA
RNAcentral lists this ribosomal RNA (550 nucleotides) under Neofusicoccum parvum. RNAcentral describes it as "eukaryotic LSU rRNA". The stretch from base 194 to 347 matches the Rfam family "5.8S ribosomal RNA". Lineage: Eukaryota; Fungi; Ascomycota; Dothideomycetes; Botryosphaeriales; Botryosphaeriaceae. The record is from RNAcentral.